Long non-coding RNA from Oryza sativa Japonica Group (Japanese rice), 1844 nucleotides. RefSeq lists it as uncharacterized. The record is from RefSeq and is a predicted model, not a curated record. NCBI's taxonomy places the organism in Eukaryota, Viridiplantae, Streptophyta, Magnoliopsida, Poales, Poaceae.
UCUACUCAAUCCAGAACCCUAGAUCGAGAUUUGGGGUGACAUUGGGGGCGAGCUUGGUGCGGCGGAGGGGUUGGUCGAGGCGGCCGAGUGCUCGUCGGGGGGCGAGCUGGCGGGCUCAGUGGAGCCGGUGGAGGGCGCAGUGGCUGGCCCCGUGGAGGGCGGUGCGGUGGCUGGCCCCGUGGAGGCGAGCGCGGUGGCUAGCUCUGCGGAGCCGCAUAAGCUCGUAGCGGCGGGUGCAGGAGAGAGAUGCAGCGUUGGACAUGCCAUUGGUAUUGAAGCCAUGGACGUGCUAGAUACUCUUGUGGUGAGGUUUCAUAUAAAAGGUGAAUUUGUGACAGAAGGUAGAGAGAAGAAAUAUGUUGAUGGUGUGGAGGCAUUGUCAUAUAUAGCUAGGGAUAAGGUCACAUUGAGUGGAAUAUUGGAACAUUUGCGUGAACACUGCAAUUUUAUUGUGGGAACACUUCUGCAUUGGCUGUUUCCAUGAAAAGAUAUGCAGACUGGGCUGCGUAUCUUAAUGGAUGACACUGUAUGUACAUACAUGUCUGACUGCAUUGUGGAGGGGGGGUGGCAGAAGUGUAUGGUUAGGAACCAGAAGUAGUAGAUUUGUGUGAUGAUUCAGAUGAUGAUAGUGAGUCCGAUGCUGAUAUGGAAGUGGAAAGUGAUAAGGAAAGUGAAGAGGCUGUAGAGGUAGAUGUUGCUCAAUGUAAAGCUACAGCUGCUCAAUGUGAUCAAACUAAUGCUAGUGGGCUGAAGGGUAAAAGUGUGAUGGAAGGUGAUGAAGAUGAUAGGAUGCUUGUUGUAUAUUACCCUGAGUCUGCUCCCCUGGCUAGCUUGGCACCUUCAGAGAGUGAAUCUGACAGUGACUACAUACCUGGUGAUGUUUGUCCAUCUGAUGAUGAUGAAGAGGCUGCUGAAAUAGAGAAGCAUUACAAAGAAGUGAAGAAGAAGAUUAAGACUGGACAGUUAGAAGACCUAGAUGCUGUUUUCUUUGAGCAAGACAGGUCCAAGCCAAGUAUGCAGGCAGCUGCAGAUGAGGGGAAUGAAACCCCAUAUGCUGAAAGUGAAGAUGACUAAUCAGUUGAAGAACUUGGCAGUGAUGGGGAGGUUAGGAUAAGGCAGGACAAACAUCCAAGAUAUAAGAAGAAGGAUGGAGUUCCCACAUUUGAACUUGGCAUGAAGUUCAAUUGCAAGAAUCAGUUCAAGAAGGCCAUCACAAAAUAUGCAUUAGCUGAGAAGAAGGUGAUCAAUUUUAUAAAAGAUGAUCAGAAAAGGGUCAGGGGCAAGUGUGACUGGGAUACCUGUCAAUGGGUCUGUUUGCUAUCAAAGAACUCCAGGUCUGACAGUUGGCAAAUUGUGACAUAUGAGAGCUUGCAUGCUUGCCCACCAAGGAGGGAUAACAAGAUGGUGACAGCCACAAGGAUUGCUCAGAAGUAUUGGAAGUUCAUAGCUGCCAACCCAUCCUAGAAUUUGUCACACAUAAGCUCCACAAGUGCAUCAGUAAAGGUUACUUCAGGGAAAGCUUCAGUUUGUGUUUCUGCUCAAGAACCCUCAAAUGCCAGACCCAAAAAGAAGACAGUUGGAGCACUUCUUCUGUUGCCAUGGGAGUCUGACAAGCUGUGAAAUGUUUGCUGCUAUGUUUAUGCAAUAUGUGGUCUUGCAGGGCAAGUAGCCCAUGUAUCUAGCUUUUUGUGUUGUGUUGAUUGCCAGACAAUCAGGCUCAUGCCUGUAUUUUGCAAACUAUUACCUACCUGUGUUGUUUGCCAGACAAUUUGGCUCCUGAUCAUGUAUGCCACUUGAUGUGUGCCACUAAUGGUUCAGCUUAGACCACUGUUGUUGAACUGCAA